AAUCCAUAGGUUAAUGAGGCGAACCGGGGGAACUGAAACAUCUAAGUACCCCGAGGAAAAGAAAUCAACCGAGAUUCCCCCAGUAGCGGCGAGCGAACGGGGAGGAGCCCAGAGCCUGAAUCAGCAUGUGUGUUAGUGGAAGCGUCUGGAAAGGCGCGCGAUACAGGGUGACAGCCCCGUACACAAAAGCGCAUGUGCUGUGAGCUCGAUGAGUAGGGCGGGACACGUGGUAUCCUGUCUGAAUAUGGGGGGACCAUCCUCCAAGGCUAAAUACUCCUGACUGACCGAUAGUGAACCAGUACCGUGAGGGAAAGGCGAAAAGAACCCCGGCGAGGGGAGUGAAAAAGAACCUGAAACCGUGUACGUACAAGCAGUGGGAGCACCCUUUGGGUGUGACUGCGUACCUUUUGUAUAAUGGGUCAGCGACUUAUAUUCUGUAGCAAGGUUAACCGAAUAGGGGAGCCGGAGGGAAACCGAGUCUUAACCGGGCGUUAAGUUGCAGGGUAUAGACCCGAAACCCGGUGAUCUAGCCAUGGGCAGGUUGAAGGUUGGGUAACACUAACUGGAGGACCGAACCGACUAAUGUUGAAAAAUUAGCGGAUGACCUGUGGCUGGGGGUGAAAGGCCAAUCAAACCGGGAGAUAGCUGGUUCUCCCCGAAAGCUAUUUAGGUAGCGCCUCGUGAAUUCAUCUCCGGGGGUAGAGCACUGUUUCGGCUAGGGGGCCAUCCCGGCUUACCAACCCGAUGCAAACUGCGAAUACCGGAGAAUGUUAUCACGGGAGACACACGGCGGGUGCUAACGUCCGUCGUGAAGAGGGAAACAACCCAGACCGCCAGCUAAGGUCCCAAAGUCAUGGUUAAGUGGGAAACGAUGUGGGAAGGCCCAGACAGCCAGGAUGUUGGCUUAGAAGCAGCCAUCAUUUAAAGAAAGCGUAAUAGCUCACUGGUCGAGUCGGCCUGCGCGGAAGAUGUAACGGGGCUAAACCAUGCACCGAAGCUGCGGCAGCGACACUGUGUGUUGUUGGGUAGGGGAGCGUUCUGUAAGCCUGUGAAGGUGUGUCGUGAGGCAUGCUGGAGGUAUCAGAAGUGCGAAUGCUGACAUAAGUAACGAUAAAGCGGGUGAAAAGCCCGCUCGCCGGAAGACCAAGGGUUCCUGUCCAACGUUAAUCGGGGCAGGGUGAGUCGACCCCUAAGGCGAGGCCGAAAGGCGUAGUCGAUGGGAAACGGGUUAAUAUUCCCGUACUUGGUGUUACUGCGAAGGGGGGACGGAGAAGGCUAUGUUGGCCGGGCGACGGUUGUCCCGGUUUAAGCGUGUAGGUGUGUGUUCCAGGUAAAUCCGGUUCACUUUAACACUGAGGCGUGACGACGAGGCACUACGGUGCUGAAGCAACAAAUGCCCUGCUUCCAGGAAAAGCCUCUAAGCAUCAGGUAACAUCAAAUCGUACCCCAAACCGACACAGGUGGUCAGGUAGAGAAUACCAAGGCGCUUGAGAGAACUCGGGU
RNAcentral lists this ribosomal RNA (1503 nucleotides) under Salmonella enterica subsp. enterica serovar Enteritidis. RNAcentral's name for it is "partial 23S ribosomal RNA". It matches the Rfam family "Bacterial large subunit ribosomal RNA", at positions 161 to 1705 of the family's 2925-position model. The record is from RNAcentral. Lineage: Bacteria; Pseudomonadati; Pseudomonadota; Gammaproteobacteria; Enterobacterales; Enterobacteriaceae.